GAUGAACGCUAGCUACAGGCUUAACACAUGCAAGUCGAGGGGUAACGAGAGGAAAGCUUGCUUUCCUUGUCGACGACCGGCGCACGGGUGAGUAACGCGUAUCCAACCUGCCCCCAACUAGGGAAUAACCUUGCGAAAGUAAGACUAAUACCCUAUAAUUUCCUCAGAUGUCAUCUGACGAGGAAUAAAGAUUUAUCGGUUGUGGAUGGGGAUGCGUCUGAUUAGCUCGUUGGCGGGGUAACGGCCCACCAAGGCAACGAUCAGUAGGGGUUCUGAGAGGAAGGUCCCCCACAUUGGAACUGAGACACGGUCCAAACUCCUACGGGAGGCAGCAGUGAGGAAUAUUGGUCAAUGGGCGGAAGCUUGAACCAUCCAAGUAGCGUGCAGGAUGACGGCCCUAUGGGUUGUAAACUGCUUUUAUACAGGAAUAAAGUUAGCCACGUGUGGUUAUUUGUAGGUACUGUAUGAAUAAGGACCGGCUAAUUCCGUGCCAGCCGCCGCCGUAA
Molecule: ribosomal RNA, 506 nt
Filed under: uncultured bacterium
Lineage: Bacteria
Description: partial 16S ribosomal RNA
Rfam family: Bacterial small subunit ribosomal RNA
Source: RNAcentral